ACAACGACUACAUUAGAUACCCGUGUAGUCCUAGCCGUAAACGAUACUCGCUAGGUGUCGGCCACGGUGCGACCGUUGUCGGUGCCGUAGGGAAGCCGUGAAGCGAGCCACCUGGGAAGUACGGCCGCAAGGCUGAAACUUAAAGGAAUUGGCGGGGGAGCACAACAACGGGUGGAGCUUGCGGUUUAAUUGGAUUCAACGCCGAAAAUCUUACCGGGACCGACAGCAACAUGAAGGCCAAGCUGAAGACUUUGCCGGAUUAGCUG
This 266-nucleotide ribosomal RNA is filed under the name uncultured archaeon. RNAcentral describes it as "partial 16S ribosomal RNA". It matches the Rfam family "Archaeal small subunit ribosomal RNA", at positions 719 to 982 of the family's 1478-position model. The record is from RNAcentral.